This is a non-coding RNA of Mus musculus (house mouse), 347 nucleotides long. The record is from the annotation of a RefSeq genome assembly. NCBI's taxonomy places the organism in Eukaryota, Metazoa, Chordata, Mammalia, Rodentia, Muridae.
AUGGGUGCAAGACUGCUCUGCUGUGUAGCACUUUGUCUGCUUGGGGCAGGCUCUUUUGUUGCUGGAGUAACCCAGACUCCACGAUACCUGGUCAAAGAGAAAGGACAGAAAGCACACAUGAGUUGUAGUCCUGAAAAAGGGCACACUGCCUUUUACUGGUAUCAACAGAACCAGAAACAAGAACUUACAUUUUUGAUUAACUUUCGAAAUGAAGAAAUUAUGGAACAAACAGACUUGGUCAAGAAGAGAUUCUCAGCUAAGUGUUCCUCGAACUCACAGUGCAUCCUGGAAAUCCUAUCCUCUGAAGAAGACGACUCAGCACUGUAGCUCUGUGCCAGCAGUCUGUA